This 440-nucleotide ribosomal RNA is filed under the name uncultured bacterium. RNAcentral describes it as "partial 16S ribosomal RNA". It matches the Rfam family "Bacterial small subunit ribosomal RNA", at positions 339 to 795 of the family's 1533-position model. The record is from RNAcentral.
CUACGGGCUGCAGCAGUGAGGAAUAUUGCACAAUGGGCGGAACCCUGAUGCAGCAACGCCGCGUGGAGGAUGACGCAUUUCGGUGUGUAAACUCCUUUUAUAUGUCAAGAAAAUGACGGUAGCAUAUGAAUAAGCACCGGCUAACUCCGUGCCAGCAGCCGCGGUAAUACGGGAGGGUGCAAGCGUUACUCGGAAUCACUGGGCGUAAAGGACGCGUAGGCGGGUUGGAAAGUCAGGUGUGAAAUCCUACAGCUUAACUGUAGAACUGCACUUGAAACUUCUAAUCUAGAGUAUGGGAGGGGGAGAUGGAAUUAGUGGUGUAGGGGUAAAAUCCGUAGAUAUCACUAGGAAUACCUAAAGCGAAGGCGAUCUCCUGGAACAUUACUGACGCUAAGGCGUGAAAGCGUGGGGAGCAAACAGGAUUAGAUACCCCCGUAGUC